AACGAACGCCGGCGGCACGCCUAACACAUGCAAGUCGCACGAGAAAGUCCCCGCAAGGGGGACCGGUAAAGUGGCAGACGGGUGAGUAACGCGUGGGUAACCUACCCUCGAGUGGGGGAUAACCCCGCGAAAGCGGGGCUAAUACCGCAUAACAUCCCGGAACGCGAGUUUCGGGAUCGAAGGUGGCUCGCAAGAGCUACCGCUCGGGGAGGGGCUCACGUUCCAUCAGCUAGUUGGUGGGGUAACGGCCUACCAAGGCGGNGACGGAUAGCUGGUCUGAGAGGACGACCAGCCACACUGGCACUGAGACACGGGCCAGACUCCUACGGGAGGCAGCAGUGAGGAAUCUUGCGCAAUGGACGAAAGUCUGAC
Molecule: ribosomal RNA, 372 nt
Filed under: uncultured bacterium
Lineage: Bacteria
Description: bacterial SSU rRNA
Rfam family: Bacterial small subunit ribosomal RNA
Source: RNAcentral